Molecule: small RNA, 1996 nt
Filed under: Pongo abelii (Sumatran orangutan)
Lineage: Eukaryota; Metazoa; Chordata; Mammalia; Primates; Hominidae
Description: processed transcript
Source: RNAcentral
AGUGAAGCAGAGAGGAGGGCCGGGACCAACAGGGCCCCUGCCCCGGUCGCCCCAUACCCAGAAUGCGGCCAGGCUGCUGGGAGGGCCGCCACUGGGCUUCCUCGGCUCACAGGGUGGAGGGGGUUGAGGAGAGGUUGUAUUUUGCUGUUCCCAGAGAGGAGGGACCGGAUUUGGCCUGGAGUGCUUCUAGCGUGGCUGGGAGCCGAGGGGCUUCCGGCUGCCUCGCCUGGAGCCCGCUCAGCCCUCAGUCUCUGUCCCAGCGAGGGCUGUCUCUGCAAGGCUUAGGGUGGGAGACGGUCCCCAGGGCCCUCCUGCAGUCCAACUGCCCAUGACUUUGCCCCAGGCCAGGCCAGGCCGGCUUGGGGCUCUCCAGGGUCUUGGCCAACAGUCCUGUGGACAGCCCGGAAAGGCCUGCCUGUCCGGCUGGCCCAGCCUCUCAGCGGAAAACAAAGGCGCUUCAGACCCGGCUGGCUUCUGUCCUGCCUGAGAGGCACUGUGAGGGCGAGGGUCCAGAAUCCUGCCCACCCUCACACCAGGCUGCCCCCACUGCUCAUACGUGAGUAGAACCCAGGCUGGGACGUCGGAGCACAUUGAGGAGGCCGCCCCAGAGCCCAUGCAGCCAGGGUGGGCAGCUGGUUUUCUUCUGAGCCAUUAGACCCAAUCGAUUUUGUGUUCCCAACUUGGACCCGUAAUAUGUGGCCAUUGACCCACCCAGCGGGUCUGAGGGCCAGUUCCCUGCCCCCACUUGGCCCACGUCCCAGAGCUGGCCAGAGCUGAGUGCUGGCAGCCCUGGGCUGCAGCUGCCACGGCCGAUAGCCAUCGAGACUUCCUUGCUGCUGCUGGGACAUGCCUGCCCACUGUGCAGCCAGCCCCUGCCUGCCCUGCCGAGAAGGUGAGCUCCCUGGGUAAGGACUGGCACAAGUUCUGCCUCAAGUGCGAGCGCUGCAGCAAGACGCUGACGCCCGGGGGCCACGCCGAGCAUGACGGGAAGCCGUUCUGCCACAAGCCGUGCUACGCCACCCUGUUCGGACCCAAAGGCGUGAACAUCGGGGGCGCGGGCUCCUACAUCUACGAGAAGCCCCUGGCGGAGGGGCCGCAGGUCACCGGCCCCAUCGAGGUCCCCGCGGCCCGAGCAGAGGAGCGGAAGGCCAGCGGCCCCCCGAAGGGGCCCAGCAGAGCUUCCAGUGUCACAACUUUCACCGGGGAGCCCAACACGUGCCCGCGCUGCAGCAAGAAGGUGUACUUCGCUGAGAAGGUGACGUCUCUGGGCAAGGAUUGGCACCGGCCCUGCCUGCGCUGCGAGCGCUGCGGGAAGACACUGACCCCCGGCGGGCACGCGGAGCACGAUGGCCAGCCCUACUGCCACAAGCCCUGCUAUGGAAUCCUCUUCGGACCCAAGGGAGUGAACACCGGUGCGGUGGGCAGCUACAUCUAUGACCGGGAUCCCGAAGGCAAGGUCCAGCCCUAGGCCACAGCGGCUGUCAUGAUGUGGGCUCACCUGCGCCCCAGACCCUGCAGGGGCCCCCCUGCUUGGCUCUGCUGGGAGAGUGCUCAGCCGCCCAGUCCUGCCUGCAAGCCCAGGGCGAGUAUUGGAGGAGGGGCAGCCACGGGCAGAGCGCCAUGCCCAUCCCUGAGUCUCUAGUGUGUCUGCCCCCUCUGGCGUCCUCUGGGCGUCCCAUGACCCCUUCUGUGUCUGCGUGUCCGAAUCCCCGUGUGACCCUGUCCCAGCGUUUUCCUGCCGGCCCUGCGCAUCCCUGCGUGUCCCUGUGUGUCCCUGUGGCGCUGUCCGCUCUCCCUCUCCUGCUGCCCACCCACCUGCCAGUGUUAUUUAUGCUGCCUUCAUGGGUGAUGGCCACGCCCCCACCAUGUCCCUGGCAGAGGACUUCCCUCCGGGAUCCCCUGCCUGGUGCCCACACGUCCUCGCAAGCGCUCGCCACCCUCACGUGGCCCACCUGCUGUUGAGCCUUGUGCUGUCAAUAAACGGUUUGAGGAUUGC